AGACAUUCGACGGGUCCAUGUAAACAGCGAGAUCGUAUUUUUUUAACAAUCCAAAGGCGAUAUACACUUGAUAGAUGCUUUUGUGUCAAUUUAACCGUUUUACACUUGAAAUACCUGAGAAGUUAAGAUGGAAAAGGAAACAAGACACGGAGAUCCAUUAAUUUGCACUCCUGUAAAGAAUUUCAAUCAGUUAAAAUUAAAUUUACUUCAAGUAUUUGGAAACACCCACGCUGUUUUUAGUGCGCAAUGUACUACCAAGUAUGGAAUGUGGUGCCCACACAGUCGAUCCUUUCAUUGGAGCAGUGAGAAUUCCAGAAAAUACGCCAACAGCAUUGUUUCCAAGGAGCCGGACUUCUUUGGAUGCCAUUCCAUGAAUUUUAAAAGCGCACUGAAGUUUUAUUAUAUUUCAUAGGCUGUCCUGACGGUGUACAGAAAACAUUGUAAUCCACUGUUCAUUACUCAAAUUCAACCACAUAUAAAUUGACAAUUCUCAAUUUUAUUUGAAAAUAUUUUGCAGUGGCCAUGGAAUUUAACAGCCACGUGUUGCUCAAAACUGAUCAACCAGCGCCGAGGUUUCUACAAAUGUUAGACGUUUGUGAAAAUAAUGACAACU
This is a long non-coding RNA of Zophobas morio, 613 nucleotides long. RefSeq lists it as uncharacterized. The transcript has 2 exons. Lineage: Eukaryota; Metazoa; Arthropoda; Insecta; Coleoptera; Tenebrionidae. The record is from RefSeq and is a predicted model, not a curated record.